This 1010-nucleotide ribosomal RNA is filed under the name Salmonella enterica. Its description in RNAcentral is "partial 23S ribosomal RNA". It matches the Rfam family "Bacterial large subunit ribosomal RNA", at positions 1918 to 2925 of the family's 2925-position model. Lineage: Bacteria; Pseudomonadati; Pseudomonadota; Gammaproteobacteria; Enterobacterales; Enterobacteriaceae. The record is from RNAcentral. RNAcentral also lists the same sequence under 2 other names.
CCCCGGUAAACGGCGGCCGUAACUAUAACGGUCCUAAGGUAGCGAAAUUCCUUGUCGGGUAAGUUCCGACCUGCACGAAUGGCGUAAUGAUGGCCAGGCUGUCUCCACCCGAGACUCAGUGAAAUUGAACUCGCUGUGAAGAUGCAGUGUACCCGCGGCAAGACGGAAAGACCCCGUGAACCUUUACUAUAGCUUGACACUGAACAUUGAGCCUUGAUGUGUAGGAUAGGUGGGAGGCUUUGAAGUGUGGACGCCAGUCUGCAUGGAGCCGACCUUGAAAUACCACCCUUUAAUGUUUGAUGUUCUAACGUGGACCCGUAAUCCGGGUUGCGGACAGUGUCUGGUGGGUAGUUUGACUGGGGCGGUCUCCUCCUAAAGAGUAACGGAGGAGCACGAAGGUUGGCUAAUCCUGGUCGGACAUCAGGAGGUUAGUGCAAUGGCAUAAGCCAGCUUGACUGCGAGCGUGACGGCGCGAGCAGGUGCGAAAGCAGGUCAUAGUGAUCCGGUGGUUCUGAAUGGAAGGGCCAUCGCUCAACGGAUAAAAGGUACUCCGGGGAUAACAGGCUGAUACCGCCCAAGAGUUCAUAUCGACGGCGGUGUUUGGCACCUCGAUGUCGGCUCAUCACAUCCUGGGGCUGAAGUAGGUCCCAAGGGUAUGGCUGUUCGCCAUUUAAAGUGGUACGCGAGCUGGGUUUAGAACGUCGUGAGACAGUUCGGUCCCUAUCUGCCGUGGGCGCUGGAGAACUGAGGGGGGCUGCUCCUAGUACGAGAGGACCGGAGUGGACGCAUCACUGGUGUUCGGGUUGUCAUGCCAAUGGCACUGCCCGGUAGCUAAAUGCGGAAGAGAUAAGUGCUGAAAGCAUCUAAGCACGAAACUUGCCCCGAGAUGAGUUCUCCCUGAGACUUAGAGUCUCCUGAAGGAACGUUGAAGACGACGACGUUGAUAGGCCGGGUGUGUAAGCGCAGCGAUGCGUUGAGCUAACCGGUACUAAUGAACCGUGAGGCUUAAC